This 72-nucleotide transfer RNA is filed under the name Camelus dromedarius (Arabian camel). It matches the Rfam family "tRNA". Rfam says of the family: Transfer RNA (tRNA) molecules are approximately 80 nucleotides in length. Their secondary structure includes four short double-helical elements and three loops (D, anti-codon, and T loops). The record is from Rfam by way of RNAcentral. RNAcentral also lists the same sequence under 1 other name. Lineage: Eukaryota; Metazoa; Chordata; Mammalia; Artiodactyla; Camelidae.
AGGGUUAUCGCUCAACAGUAGAGUGUGUGCUUAGCACGCAGGAGGUCCUGGGUUCAAUCCCCGGUACCACUA